GAUGAACGCUGGCGGCAGGCCUAACACAUGCAAGUCGAGCGGUAACACAGAGAGCUUGCUCUCGGGUGACGAGCGGCGGACGGGUGAGUAAUGUCUGGGAAACUGCCUGAUGGAGGGGGAUAACUACUGGAAACGGUAGCUAAUACCGCAUAACGUCGCAAGACCAAAGAGGGGGACCUUCGGGCCUCUUGCCAUCAGAUGUGCCCGGAUGGGAUUAGCUAGUAGGUGGGGUAACGGCUCACCUAGGCGACGAUCCCUAGCUGGUCUGAGAGGAUGACCAGCCACACUGGAACUGAGACACGGUCCAGACUCCUACGGGAGGCAGCAGUGGGGAAUAUUGCACAAUGGGCGCAAGCCUGAUGCAGCCAUGCCGCGUGUAUGAAGAAGGCCUUCGGGUUGUAAAGUACUUUCAGCGGGGAGGAAGGCGAUAAGGUUAAUAACCUUGUCGAUUGACGUUACCCGCAGAAGAAGCACCGGCUAACUCCGUGCCAGCCGCCGCCGUAA
RNAcentral lists this ribosomal RNA (504 nucleotides) under uncultured bacterium. Its description in RNAcentral is "partial 16S ribosomal RNA". It matches the Rfam family "Bacterial small subunit ribosomal RNA", at positions 28 to 523 of the family's 1533-position model. The record is from RNAcentral.